CUAACAGCCCUUUUCAGGGCUACAAAUAUAAUUAAAAAUGAGACA
Molecule: non-coding RNA, 45 nt
Organism: Musca domestica (house fly)
Lineage: Eukaryota; Metazoa; Arthropoda; Insecta; Diptera; Muscidae
Source: Rfam